CCUACGGGUGGCUGCAGUGGGGAAUAUUGGACAAUGGGGGGAACCCUGAUCCAGCCAUGCCGCGUGUGUGAAGAAGGCCCUCGGGUUGUAAAGCACUUUCAGUGAGGAAGAACGCCUGGUGGUUAAUACCCAUCAGGAAAGACAUCACUCACAGAAGAAGCACCGGCUAACUCCGUGCCAGCAGCCGCAGUAAUACGGAGGGUGCGAGCGUUAAUCGGAAUUACUGGGCGUAAAGCGCGCGUAGGUGGCUUGAUAAGCCGGUUGUGAAAGCCCCGGGCUCAACCUGGGAACGGCAUCCGGAACUGUCAAGCUAGAGUGCAGGAGAGGAAGGUAGAAUUCCCGGUGUAGCGGUGAAAUGCGUAGCGAUCGGGAGGAAUACCAGUGGCGAAGGCGGCCUUCUGGACUGACACUGACACUGAGGUGCGAAAGCGUGGGUAGCAAACAGGAUUAGAUACCCUUGUAGUC
RNAcentral lists this ribosomal RNA (465 nucleotides) under Vreelandella stevensii. Its description in RNAcentral is "partial 16S ribosomal RNA". It matches the Rfam family "Bacterial small subunit ribosomal RNA", at positions 338 to 795 of the family's 1533-position model. Lineage: Bacteria; Pseudomonadati; Pseudomonadota; Gammaproteobacteria; Oceanospirillales; Halomonadaceae. The record is from RNAcentral.